AGAGUUUGAUCCUGGCUCAGGACGAACGCGGGAGGCAGGCUUAACACAUGCAAGUCGAGCGGGGAAGGGUAGCUUGCUACCUGACCUAGCGGCGGACGGGUGAGUAAUGCUUAGGAAUCUGCCUAUUAGUGGGGGACAACAUUCCGAAAGGAAUGCUAAUACCGCAUACGCCCUACGGGGGAAAGCAGGGGAUCUUCGGACCUUGCGCUAAUAGAUGAGCCUAAGUCAGAUUAGCUAGUUGGUGGGGUAAAGGCCUACCAAGGCGACGAUCUGUAGCGGGUCUGAGAGGAUGAUCCGCCACGCUGGGACUGAGACACGGCCCAGACUCCUACGGGAGGCAGCAGUGGGGAAUAUUGGACAAUGGGCGAAAGCCUGAUCCAGCCAUGCCGCGUGUGUGAAGAAGGCCUUUUGGUUGUAAAGCACUUUAAGCGAGGAGGAGGCUACUUGGAUUAAUACUCUAGGAUAGUGGACGUUACUCGCAGAAUAAGCACCGGCUAACUCUGUGCCAGCAGCCGCGGUAAUACAGAGGGUGCGAGCGUUAAUCGGAUUUACUGGGCGUAAAGCGUGCGUAGGCGGCUUUUUAAGUCGGAUGUGAAAUCCCUGAGCUUAACUUAGGAAUUGCAUUCGAUACUGGGAAGCUAGAGUAUGGGAGAGGAUGGUAGAAUUCCAGGUGUAGCGGUGAAAUGCGUAGAGAUCUGGAGGAAUACCGAUGGCGAAAGCAGCCAUCUGGCCUAAUACUGACGCUGAGGUACGAAAGCAUGGGGAGCAAACAGGAUUAGAUACCCUGUAGUCCAUGCCGUAAACGAUGUCUACUAGCCGUUGGGGCCUUUGAGGCUUUAGUGCGCAGCUAACGCGAUAAGUAGACCGCCUGGGGAGUACGGUCGCAAGACUAAAACUCAAA
RNAcentral lists this ribosomal RNA (901 nucleotides) under uncultured Acinetobacter sp. RNAcentral describes it as "bacterial SSU rRNA". It matches the Rfam family "Bacterial small subunit ribosomal RNA", at positions 8 to 905 of the family's 1533-position model. The record is from RNAcentral. Lineage: Bacteria; Pseudomonadati; Pseudomonadota; Gammaproteobacteria; Moraxellales; Moraxellaceae.